CCUACGGGAGGCAGCAGUAAGGAAUAUUGGUCAAUGGACGCAAGUCUGAACCAGCCAUGCCGCGUGCAGGAUGAAGGCCCUCUGGGUUGUAAACUGCUUUUAUAGGGGACGAAAAAGGGACUUUCUAGUUCAACUGACGGUACCCUAGGAAUAAGCACCGGCUAACUCCGUGCCAGCAGCCGCGGUAAUACGGAGGGUGCAAGCGUUAUCCGGAUUUACUGGGUUUAAAGGGUGCGUAGGUGGGUUGGUAAGUCAGCGGUGAAAUCUUCAAGCUUAACUUGGAAACUGCCAUUGAUACUAUCAAUCUUGAAUCAUCUGGAGGUAAGCGGAAUAUGUCAUGUAGCGGUGAAAUGCCUAGAUAUGACAUAGAACACCAAUUGCGAAGGCAGCUUACUACGGAUGUAUUGACACUGAGGCACGAAAGCGUGGGGAUCAAACAGGAUUAGAUACCCUGGUAGUCCACGCCCUAAACGAUGGAUACUCGACAUACGUGAUAUACUAUGUGUGUNUGAGNGAAGANAUUAAGUUAUCCCACCGUACGGGUAAGGUAACGUAGUUCGCGAAGAAGUUAGUAAACGUUAAAAGGUUAAAGUUAGUACGGGCGUUGAGACGUUGCCGACGGACGACGACGAGGGAGGAGG
Molecule: ribosomal RNA, 641 nt
Filed under: uncultured bacterium
Lineage: Bacteria
Description: bacterial SSU rRNA
Rfam family: Bacterial small subunit ribosomal RNA (bases 1-536)
Source: RNAcentral